UAUUAUGAUUACUAUUAUUCAGGUCACUGCCUGGAAUGAAACUCGGAACCUUGGGGUCAGAAGACCAUGCUCUUAACCACUACGCCAUAUACUCGUGGGCAUAUAGCUGGAUGCUGGAGGGUAUAUCAGCC
Molecule: long non-coding RNA, 131 nt
Organism: Octopus sinensis (East Asian common octopus)
Lineage: Eukaryota; Metazoa; Mollusca; Cephalopoda; Octopoda; Octopodidae
Exons: 3
Source: RefSeq, a predicted model, not a curated record